AUGUCGACCGGUGGUGCAGAGUCUGCGGCGGCGGAGGCGAUGGCCUCGGAGGCGUACCUGGCGGGCGACGCUGUGAGGGAGGCGCGGGAGCUGGUGGCGGAGCUCUGCCGCCACUUCUACCUGCAGGGGUGGGUCACCGGCACCGGCGGCAGCAUCACCGUCAAGGCCAACGACCCCGAUGUGCCCCUCGCGCAGCAGCUCAUCGUCAUGUCCCCGUCCGGCGUGCAGAAGGAGAGGAUGGUGGCAGAGGACAUGUACGUGAUGUCAGCAGAGGGCAAGGUGAUAUCUGCACCAGUAGCAAAGCCAUGGCCACACAAGCAUCCAAAGUGUUCAGACUGUGCACCUCUGUUCAUGAAGUCUUAUCUAAUGCGAGGAGCUGGAGCUGUGAUUCAUAGCCAUGGCAUGGAGACUUGCAUAGCAACAAUGAUCAAUCCUGGUGCAAAGGAGUUCAGGAUGACACAUAUGGAAAUGAUUAAAGGAAUCAAAGGUCAUGGGUACACUGAUGAAUUGGUAAUUCCCAUAAUUGAAAAUACUCCUUAUGAGUAUGAGCUCACAGACUCUCUAGCUGAAGCGAUUGCAGCAUACCCUAAGGCAACUGCUGUCCUGGUACGGAACCAUGGAAUUUAUGUGUGGGGUGACUCCUGGAUUAAUGCCAAGACACAGGUAUUCAGUACAUUUUAUGGUCUUGCUUUUCUUCAGGCUGAAUGCUAUCAUUAUCUUUUUGAUGCUGCCAUCAAGAUGUAUCAGUUAGGGAUUGACUGGACAACUCCUGAGCAUGGUCCAAUAAACAGUGCCAAAAGAUUGCGUAGUGUUGCAAGUCCUGGGGUUCCUAAUGGAUGUCAUACAGCCAAAUCAUCAAAGCAUUGUGUUGUACUUGACAUCGAAGGAACAACAACGCCAAUAUCAUUUGUGACUGAUGUUAUGUUUCCUUAUGCCCGUGAUAAUGUGCGGAAGCAUCUGACUUCUACAUACGAAUCCGAGGAAACCAAAGAAGACAUCAAACUUUUACGCAUCCAAAUCGAAGAAGACCUGAGAACCGGAGUUGUUGGGGCUGCUCCAGUUGCACCGGAUUAUGCUGGCAAAGAAGAGGUUAUCAGUUCUUUAGUUGCUAAUGUUGAAGCAAUGAUCAAAGCAGACCGGAAGAUUACAUCAUUGAAACAACUUCAGGGGCAUAUAUGGAGGACUGGGUUUGAAAGGAAAGAACUGCAAGGAGUUGUUUUUGAGGAUGUUCCCGAGGCACUUAAGAACUGGCAAUCUCAGGGUAUGAAGGUUUACAUAUACUCCAGUGGCAGUAGAGAGGCACAGAGGCUACUAUUUGGACAUACAUCUUAUGGUGAUCUGCGGCAAUUUCUGUGUGGUUUUUUCGACACCACAACCGGAAACAAAAGAGAAGCAAGGAGUUAUUUUGAGAUCUCGCAAUCACUUGGGGUGGAUAAUCCGUCUCAAAUCUUAUUCAUCACAGAUGUGUUGCAAGAAGCCGUUGCAGCAAAGAGUGCAGGUUUCGAGGUAAUAAUCUCCAUUCGCCCGGGGAAUGCACCGCUUCCUGCGAAUCAUGGUUUCCGGACUAUCAGUUCCUUCAGUGAGAUCUGA
RNAcentral lists this ribosomal RNA (1590 nucleotides) under Triticum aestivum (bread wheat). RNAcentral's name for it is "partial small subunit ribosomal RNA". The record is from RNAcentral. Lineage: Eukaryota; Viridiplantae; Streptophyta; Magnoliopsida; Poales; Poaceae.